AAUGAGUUAGCCAGAAAUAGCCUAACAAAGAGAACUUAAGCUAGGUUCCCCGAAACCAGACGAGCUACCUAUGAACAAUCCACUGGGGUGAACUCAUCUAUGUU
RNAcentral lists this ribosomal RNA (104 nucleotides) under Ursus arctos (brown bear). RNAcentral's name for it is "partial large subunit ribosomal RNA". Lineage: Eukaryota; Metazoa; Chordata; Mammalia; Carnivora; Ursidae. The record is from RNAcentral.